AAGAUUAUACUUUCAGGGAUCAUUUCUAUAGUUUGUUACUAGAGAAGUUUCUCUGAACGUGUAGAGUACCCAAAACCAUGAAGAGGAGGCGCAGCCUUCUCUCCUGAGCAUGAAGCCGGCUCUUGGUGUUGCUUCUGCAACUGCCAUUUGCCAGUGAUGAUCAUUCUUCUCCUCCUUUGGGAGAGUAAGACGAGGGAGGAUGCUGUCUGAGUAGA
This is a small nucleolar RNA of Equus asinus (donkey), 215 nucleotides long. Its record names the gene U3. It matches the Rfam family "Small nucleolar RNA U3". Rfam says of the family: Small nucleolar RNAs (snoRNAs) are involved in the processing and modification of rRNA in the nucleolus. There are two main classes of snoRNAs: the box C/D class, and the box H/ACA class. NCBI's taxonomy places the organism in Eukaryota, Metazoa, Chordata, Mammalia, Perissodactyla, Equidae. The record is from Ensembl.